RNAcentral lists this ribosomal RNA (438 nucleotides) under uncultured bacterium. RNAcentral's name for it is "bacterial SSU rRNA". It matches the Rfam family "Bacterial small subunit ribosomal RNA", at positions 335 to 769 of the family's 1533-position model. The record is from RNAcentral.
ACUCCUACGGGAGGCAGCAGUGGGGAAUAUUGCACAAUGGGGAAACCCUGAUGCAGCCAUGCCGCGUGUGUGAAGAAGGCCUCGGUUGUAAAGCACUUCAGUAGGGAGGAAGGUAGUGUAGUUAACACCUGCAUUAUUUGACGUUACCUACAGAAGAAGCACCGGCUAACUCCGUGCCAGCAGCCGCGGUAAUACGGAGGGUGCGAGCGUUAAUCGGAAUUACUGGGCGUAAAGCGCAUGCAGGCGGCCUGUUAAGUCAGAUGUGAAAGCCCGGGGGCUUAACCUCGGAAUUGCAUUUGAAACUGGCAGGCUAGAGUCUUGUAGAGGGGGUAGAAUUUCAGGUGUAGCGGUGAAAUGCGUAGAGAUCUGAAGGAAUACCAGUGGCGAAGGCGGCCCCCUGGACAAAGACUGACGCUCAGAUGCGAAAGCGUGGGGAGC